This is a non-coding RNA of Aggregatibacter actinomycetemcomitans D11S-1, 117 nucleotides long. NCBI's taxonomy places the organism in Bacteria, Pseudomonadati, Pseudomonadota, Gammaproteobacteria, Pasteurellales, Pasteurellaceae. The record is from Rfam.
UCCUUGACACUCUGUUUGAGUAUCCUGAAAACGGGCUUUUCAAGAUCAGAGUGUCAACUAAUCAAUAAACAAUAGGAGUGCAUAGUGGCCCGUAUUGCAGGCAUUAACAUUCCUGAU